This 255-nucleotide ribosomal RNA is filed under the name uncultured bacterium. Its description in RNAcentral is "partial 16S ribosomal RNA". It matches the Rfam family "Bacterial small subunit ribosomal RNA", at positions 524 to 776 of the family's 1533-position model. The record is from RNAcentral.
UACGAAGGGGGGCUAGCGUUGUUCGGAAUUACUGGGCGUAAAGCGCACGUAGGCGGAUAUUUAAGUCAGGGGUGAAAUCCCAGAGCUCAACUCUGGAACUGCCUUUGAUACUGGGUAUCUCGAGUAUGGAAGAGGUGAGUGGAAUUCCGAGUGUAGAGGUGAAAUUCGUAGAUAUUCGGAGGAACACCAGUGGCGAAGGCGGCUCACUGGUCCAUUACUGACGCUGAGGUGCGAAAGCGUGGGGAGCAAAACAGG